CUCACAGCAUGACGCCAAAAAGAGCAGCGCCUGUGGUAUCAAUUUCAUUUCUACUUUCACUUCACCUUUUAUUUCUUCUUUCUGUCUCACUCUGCUUUGUGCAACUUUUAUUUGGAGAUCAGCUUUUAUCCAUUCUCACCCUGUAUCCUUGUUCCCCAUGCACAUCACACUUCCCACUCAUCUUUCCUGUAUUUUAAUCUUCUGUGACAUACCCUCACACUGUGAGUCACAGGGGACCCCCGACUCACAUGUGGCAUAAUGAAGAUAUGAGAUGUGUGUCAGCGGGUUUUCUUACGCUUCUAUCCUUAUGAGGACCAAAAGGCAGCAAGAAAAAAGGAAAUCAUUCAGGAACAGCAUGUACCUGUGGGGCUAAUGUCUCCUAUGGGGUUCUGGCUAGACAACGUAACUCUGCUUCUGUCCCUGUGGUGAAAGACUGGCUUGCCACUCCCCUCCUGCACCGCCUGACACUUUGGACUGAGAGGGAGACCAAAAUAGAAGCAGGAAAAGACAGAACCACAGACCAAAGAGGAACACAGCUCUGGCAUCUAUGGCAACCAUGCUGAGGAGGAUAUAAAGCCGAACCUAAAAUGUCUGUAGCUGUUCACACUUUUUCAUUGCUCCAUAAUUCAUUACUCUCCCAAUUACUCAUGAUAUUAACAUCAAUUUUUUUCUCUCCUAGUUUGAUGCAUGUCCUCGCCUUAGCUUUUACGUUGUGAAGCAAUUUUAAUUAUAUUAACUUUAACUCAUUCAAAAAAAGAAAAGGAAAAAAAAACUAUCACUUUAAAUGAGAGGAAUUUAUUCCUCCAUUGAUUAUGUAUUAACUGUCAAAUAAAUUGUGCAAAGAUAAAUAGCAGAAUAAAGAAAAGAAAUGUAACAAACCUAAACUUUAUCAUGAUAAGUUUUUUCAUGUAAAGAAAUUUAGCCUAUAUCUUAAUUCUUCUUAACAAAAUAUUAAGACGUUUCCAUUUAAAAACAGAAAGACAACUAAAUAUGAUAGCUUACUGUCUAUUGUCUUACUCUGUAUUCUCUGUUGUACCUGGUGGACAUUAGGGACUAAGUAAAGCUAUAAUGAGCAGGACCCUGAGAACUAUGGAGAUAGACAGGGUAGUGGAACAAGGUAAGUAAGCAAAUAAAUAAUCAAAUAAUAUACUAAGUAUUCUACUCAUGUCUGCACAAUAGCAGACUCCUGCCAAUUUUGAGAGAAUAUUUACUUGACUGAUGGCAAAUAUUGUCGGAGGAAACUUGCAUUUUGACAUUUCAGACUGAUAAACAGGAGAUAUUAUUUCACUGUUUUAAUAUCCCGAGUGAUUAAAACAUAGGGUACAUGACAUUUCAAUUUUAUUUUAUUCUAAUCUAAUUUAAAAGGUCAGAUGAGGAGACUGUAAACUUAAUUUGAGACUGACAGCCCCUUUAUAAAUGAAGAGCACCCACUGCCCGAUCAGAUGAUAGUAAUUAUGCCUUAUGAAGUAAAAGUCACUUUUGCAAUCAUCUAAUUUGUCCUCAAAUGAAUACCUGAGACAUUUAAUAUCUGUUUGCUUCAGCCGCUCUUUCCAGGAGACUUUUUAUUAGGAAGAUAGGCCAUGGAGAAAAACCCCCGCCUGAAGUCAAGAAAUGGGAGAAUGUAAAAAGAAAACAAAACUUAAGAUGUAUUGUUAUAUUUCAAAUGUAGCUAAUAGAGUGUUUGAACUUGUUUGUGUGUAUCUUAAAAGCAAAGGAAGGAAUACUUCUCAUUUAAAAGAUCUAAGGGACAAAGUGACAGGCUGCAGGUCCCUCCUCUCAACAUGAGUCGCUUCCACUGUCCCAGAAGCCUGGUGACAGUGGAGCCUCAGGAUCACAAGCAUCUGGCUCACAUUGUAAAUGUCGACUGUUCUCACGCAGAGGUUGUGCAGACAGGCAGAAACAACAGAGACAGAAGGCACACCAUUUGGUUUCAUCUCCAAGGCCUCCAAGAAAAGAAUAGUGCCAUCUUGACUUCAUUAUCCCAAAGGUCUUCCGUGUCUGAGUGAGCCCUGGGACGACGCUGGCUGUACAAUGUUCGAGUCACAAUGGUGUAUUGAGUACAUGGAUCUUCUAGAAGACAAUGCAGUGUCACGAACAGAUCUUGGAUAGCUCGUUCAUUCCUUCUCUGGAGGUCAGAAACUGUCAAUAUGCAUCAGAAAUUGUACGCAUCGAGGCAAAAAAGUGGGAAGUUACAUAACCCUUACCCCUUCCAUAGUGGCAUGUCCCCUGCCUCGCUGAUGCCUGACUGGCCUCCUGGUGAUCUUGUGAACCACAGUGGGGUUCGUAAGGCCUCAGAUGUUAGGUUGUGUGACAGGUCACCUUUAAACAAACAGCAGCACCUCCAGCUGAUGUUGCUGCUGUCCAGGGGUUGAAUCAGGUUGGUUAUUGUCACUCUAAGCAGUCAGAAAAUCUGUUUAAUGGUCAUGCUCCACAGCAAAUACACAACGCAGAGAUGUUGGGUUUGCUCUGGCUUACUUCUUUGCAAAAAGUGAAAUGUUACUUGACAUUUAAUAAUUGCUGAAUACUGAAAUAGUUUUCAUGUGUCUGGAAUGGACUUUGUGGACAAGGUAUUGUUAAAGGAACAGUUUUAUAUAUUUAUAAAAAGAACCUGCAGAGAAAUGGAAGAGAAACAUGGACACUAUAAUGUCUGUAUGCUAAAUAUGAUGCUUGAGCCAGCAGGUGAGGUUAGACCGUGAGGUUGCCAGGCAACCAGUGGAGACUCCUGGUAGUCACUGGUGCUUAUUAGAUAGGGUGUUUUUUUAUGUUUGGGCAGAGCCUGGCUAGCUGUUUCCCCCAUACUGUAUGCUAAGCUGAGUUAACCAGUUAAUAUGUAGAUCACGUGUGUGUGUGUGUGUGUGUGUGUGUGUGUGUGUGUGUGUGUGUGUGUGUGUGUGUGUGUGUGUGUGUGUGUGUGUGUGUGUGUGUGUGUGUGUGCAAAAAAUCACAUAGGGAAAAAAGCAGAGGCUUCAGUUGCAGGAUAUCAUUUAUGAUCUAUAAAUGGACGUUGAACACACCGCCACAACACAAGAGAGCAAACAUUAAACCGUGUACUGUAUGUUUUAUAAAAGGCAGAAUUUGCAAUGACCCUAAAUCUUAAAAUAUUUCUGUUUAGCUCACCAAUUGCAUCAUUUUAAGACUUAGCCCAUAGGGAAAGAGAUGCAUCAUUUUUGUAGUAGAGUAGAGGAUAAAGUGUCUGGUUAGCAUAAGAUGCGGGAGUAUUAACCAUUGUAUCACUGGUCACCUGUACCUGUGACUAUACAGCACCUGCAAGGAAUAUUGCAACCUCUAUUCUUUUUUUACUGUGUUGUAGGAGGCAAAUUGAUAAGGAGAAAGUAGCAAAACCCAGUGACCGCCUGUAGUAACAAGCGGCUGGGUGAACAAGACGUGUAAUGAAAUCAUUUUACCACCAGUAAAUGAGAACACUGAGGCAGUGAUCAGAGGAUGAGGAUUCAGACCACACAGCUAUAAACAGGUCAUUAUUGGAAUGACAUGAGAAACAGACUGAGCCUCAGCAUGUGGUUAUCAUUUCAAGAUAACUGUCAAAUUUAACGCUUUUAAAUGCUUUGUCUGCUCAGUGAAAAUGUGUUUAUAGAACAA
Molecule: long non-coding RNA, 3597 nt
Organism: Cottoperca gobio
Lineage: Eukaryota; Metazoa; Chordata; Actinopteri; Perciformes; Bovichtidae
Exons: 2
Source: RefSeq, a predicted model, not a curated record